UUCCUCCAGACUUUGGAGACUCUUGGUGAGUAAAAUUCUUAUUUUCAUGGCAAUAUAGUUAUUUACAUAAGUUCAAUAAGAAUCUUUUCUCCUUAUAGUAGGACACAAUGGGAAACAUUGGUUAUAUUACCAAAGCUUCGACUGGAAUGUCAUAUUAGAGAGAAACAUGCAGACUCAGAUAUGACCAGACAGCUAAGAAACAAAGAUUGACUUUAUCAAAUAAAGCAAUUUGGAAUUUGGCCUGGUACCUUUCUUACAGGAUUCCAAGCAACCUUACUGGAACUGAAAACAAUCUUUUUCCUGGAGCCCUGCAAACUAACGCUGGACAACUUGAUAGAAACUGUUUUCAAUGAGAUCAUCGAACACCAAAACCUGAGUCUUUAAUCCCACUGCCAGAAAGAAAUAAAAUACAAAGAAACCUUCCAUGGAAAACAUGUAAUAACAUGAAAGUUUGCUCUUACCAGCAAAAGCCAAAAUAUGAAAAUCCAGACUGCAAAACUGCUAAACUGUGGUUGAAAUCUUUU
This 524-nucleotide long non-coding RNA is filed under the name Equus caballus (horse). RNAcentral's name for it is "lncRNA (ENSECAG00000050384.1)". The record is from RNAcentral. Lineage: Eukaryota; Metazoa; Chordata; Mammalia; Perissodactyla; Equidae.